AUUGAACGCUGGCGGCAGGCUUAACACAUGCAAGUCGAGCGGGGUGAUGGUGCUUGCACUAUCACUUAGCGGCGGACGGGUGAGUAAUGCUUAGGAAUCUGCCUAUUAGUGGGGGACAACAUCUCGAAAGGGAUGCUAAUACCGCAUACGUCCUACGGGAGAAAGCAGGGGAUCACUUGUGACCUUGCGCUAAUAGAUGAGCCUAAGUCGGAUUAGCUAGUUGGUGGGGUAAAGGCCUACCAAGGCGACGAUCUGUAGCGGGGCUGAGAGGAUGAUCGGCCACACGGGGACUGAGCCACGGCCCAGACUCCUACGGGAGGCAGCAGUGGGGAAUAUUGGACAAUGGGGGGAACCCUGAUCCAGCCAUGCCGCGUGUGUGAAGAAGGCCUUAUGGUUGUAAAGCACUUUAAGCGAGGAGGAGGCUCUUUUGGUUAAUACCCAAGAUGAGUGGACGUUACUCGCAGAAUAAGCACCGGCUAACUCUGUGCCAGCCGCCGCCGUAA
RNAcentral lists this ribosomal RNA (503 nucleotides) under uncultured bacterium. RNAcentral describes it as "partial 16S ribosomal RNA". It matches the Rfam family "Bacterial small subunit ribosomal RNA", at positions 30 to 523 of the family's 1533-position model. The record is from RNAcentral.